RNAcentral lists this unclassified non-coding RNA (553 nucleotides) under plant metagenome. RNAcentral describes it as "partial contains small subunit ribosomal RNA and internal transcribed spacer 1". The stretch from base 65 to 347 matches the Rfam family "Group I catalytic intron". From Rfam's summary of the family: Group I catalytic introns are large self-splicing ribozymes. They catalyse their own excision from mRNA, tRNA and rRNA precursors in a wide range of organisms. The record is from RNAcentral.
AAGUCGUAACAAGGUUCCCUUCUGCAGCGCAGCUCCGGAGACCUUGCACCCCGAACGGGUGGCAGCACGACGAUAAACAAAGCUCGCCGCGUGCAAGUUGCCGUAUGGUCAGCAACACGAUCGAAUUGACGGGGACCUCCUAAAGCCUGCAACACCAACCGUCCGGGGAAACUCGGGCGGGGCCCUCACGGGGUGGUAAUGAGAGUGCAGGAUGAACAAUGGACGAUCCGCAGCGAAGACCCUACCGGCGAGAGCCCCACGGGGUACCGUUUCACAGACUAAGUGAUUGUGGGCGGGGCAUCAGGCCCCCGUCUAAGAUAUAGUCGGUCUUUGUCCGAAAGGGCAGAGCCUAGCGCGUCCGUAGGUGAACCUGCGGAAGGAUCAUUAAAGAAUCGCCCCGUUUUUUGAAAUGGGUUCUAUUCCCAAACCGUGUAUACAUACCUUUGUUGCUUUGGCAGGCCGUCUUUUAGGCGUCGGCUCCGGCUGACUGCGCUUGCCAGAGGACCCAAACUCGUUUGUUUAGUGAUGUCUGAGUACUAUAUAAUAGUUAAAA